RNAcentral lists this ribosomal RNA (254 nucleotides) under uncultured bacterium. RNAcentral's name for it is "partial 16S ribosomal RNA". It matches the Rfam family "Bacterial small subunit ribosomal RNA", at positions 796 to 1041 of the family's 1533-position model. The record is from RNAcentral.
CACGCCCUAAACGAUGCCUACUAGGUUGUAGAACCUCUGACGGUUUUACGGCCGAAGCAAAAGUGUUAAGUAGGCCGCCUGGGAAGUACGGUCGCAAGGCUAAAACUCAAAGGAAUUGACGGGGGCUCACACAAGCGGUGGAGUAUGUGGAUUAAUUCGAAGCAACGCGCAGAACCUUACCUGGGUUUGACAUGGUUGGAUGGCUUACUGGAAACAGUGUAGUCUGCCCGCAAGGGUGAAACUUCCACAGGUGC